Molecule: ribosomal RNA, 380 nt
Filed under: uncultured eukaryote
Lineage: Eukaryota
Description: partial 18S ribosomal RNA
Rfam family: Eukaryotic small subunit ribosomal RNA
Source: RNAcentral
CAAUAGCGUAUAUUAAAGUUGUUGCAGUUAAAAAGCUCGUAGUUGGAUUUGUGGCGUACGGUGUGUUCUGGGCACUUGUUGUCUGAGUAACCUGCUGUUGCCAUCCUUGGGUGGAACCUGUGUGGCAUUAGGUUGUCGUGCAGGGGAUGCCCAUCAUUUACUGUGAAAAAAUUAGAGUGUUCAAAGCAGGCUUAUGCCGUUGAAUAUAUUAGCAUGGAAUAAUGAGAUAGGACUUUUUUGCUAUUUUGUUGGUUUGCGCAAAGAGGUAAUGAUUAAUAGGGACAGUUGGGGGUAUUCGUAUUCCAUUGUCAGAGGUGAAAUUCUUGGAUUUUUGGAAGACGAACUACUGCGAAAGCAUUUACCAAGGAUGUUUUCAUUAA